RNAcentral lists this ribosomal RNA (253 nucleotides) under uncultured bacterium. RNAcentral's name for it is "partial 16S ribosomal RNA". It matches the Rfam family "Bacterial small subunit ribosomal RNA", at positions 524 to 776 of the family's 1533-position model. The record is from RNAcentral.
UACAGAGGUCCCAAGCGCUGUUCGGAUUCAUUGGGCGUAAAGGGUGCGUAGGCGGCGCGGUAAGUCGGGUGUGAAAUCUCGGGGCUUAACUCCGAAACUGCAUUCGAUACUGCCGUGCUUGAGGACUGGAAAGGAGACUGGAAUUUACGGUGUAGCGGUGAAAUGCGUAGAUAUCGUAAGGAAGACCAGUGGCGAAGGCGGGUCUCUGGACAGUUCCUGACGCUGAGGCACGAAGGUCAGGGGAGCAAACGGG